Long non-coding RNA from Bombus huntii, 10415 nucleotides. RefSeq lists it as uncharacterized. Lineage: Eukaryota; Metazoa; Arthropoda; Insecta; Hymenoptera; Apidae. The record is from RefSeq and is a predicted model, not a curated record. The transcript has 2 exons.
AUUGUUAAAGGCAGAGAAACAUAGACUGGAAGAAAUAAAUGUUUAUUCAAAAGUAUCAGAAUGAGGAUUGAUAAAAAUUCUCUGACAAUUUGCACGCGCUAAAAUUGUUUUUGGAAAUGUCUUUCUUGCGGUUUGGAAAAUAUUAAACCAAAAAAGGGAGUUUCUCGAAAAAUGAGCGUAAAGUUGCUCGAUUAUAUCUGAGUCCGCGCGAUUCUUUUUAAACCGUUGAAAAAAUGUAAUUAAUUGUGCUCGACCAUUAAGAAUAUUAAUGAAGGAGAUAGAAAGAGAAAAGAAAUUAAGCUUCGCAGAAACCAACAUGUUCUUAUGCAUACAACUAUUAUUCAACUUUUUUUUUUAAAUGAAUCCAAUUUGAUGUUUCACGUAGAAACGUUAUUUAUUUAUUUAUGGAAUUAUUUUAUAAUAAACUCAUUAACGUUAACAAUAAACUCACUUGAUCGCAAAAAAAAGAAAAAUACAUAAUUUGCCACUACGUGUUUGCAAGAUCGAAUAAUAUUUAAUUACACGGAAUCGAGUAGGUUUGUCUGUUUAAAAAGACUCCAAUGCAUUAGAAACGUUCUACGUAGAGAUGUUUUUCUUUGUCGCAAUUAACAUUCCGCGAGUAUUUCUUCCCAGAAGGGAAUACAGAUCCGAUGGAGAAUGAAAAAUCUCUGUUGGGGCCAGCGAUAAAUUUGAAUCGGUUCCAAUGGCGAGUCGGUGACCGCGACAACGAAAAUCGUUUCGGGAUUCGAGGCUGGCACGGCGACGUUGCAUUUACAUUAAGCCAGUUUGUCGAAUCGAAUCGAAUGGACGCCGUGCAGAUGAUCGAGGGUUAAUGGACCGAGAAAAGCCAAGAAUUGGCUGGAAAAUUAUAUACCGUUCUCUUGAUUAUAGAUCUCGCGUCGUUAUUUCUUAUUUUCGUUUUAACGUUGCUACUUUGAGAUUAUCGUUCUCGUCUCUGAAUCUUCUCAAAAGAAUAUCAAAGCAAAUUGGUAAUUUUUUCUAAAAUAUUCCCUCUUUCUCGUUCUUUGCUCAUGUAAACUUUUGCUUCCGAUUUGUCAAGUCUGAUUUUCACAGUAGAAUAAUCGAAAGUACUUGAGAAUAAUUACGUAUUAAUCUACAAGCCAUAAUCUAUCAAUUCACAGAUGAUACUGAAUUUAGUGAUCUUCCAAAGUAAACAGAAUUAGCGCUGAAUUUAAAUCGAAGAAAUCCAAAUGAAAUUUUAAAUUAAAUUAAAUUAAAGGAAUCGGUAAGAUACACUAAGCUACUUUUAAUAUUAUGGAGAAUUUACAAAAUAAGUUUGACUUUGCAAAUUAUACACGCCUGUGUGUUUUCUAUUUAUUUCUAUUUAUACUAUCAACGAGCCUACAUCUAUGAAGAAAAGACCUAAUGGACACCCUAUAUAUUAGGUUGUUCGAAAAGUCUCUUUCGUUUCAAAAGCUGAUAAUAAAUGAACAACAAUUUCUGUUUUAUAUUAUUUUAUUGCAUUAGGUAUGACCCAUUUCGUUAUAUUUCUAUUAUCAUCCUCCAUUAUUUUAUAUAAUUUUUGUAUUAUCACGUUCGUGCAUAAUUCAAUAAACUAAUAUAAAACAAAAAACAUUGCGCGUCUAUUAUUUCCGUAUAAAACGAAAGAAACUUUUCGGACAACCUAAUAUGUACAUACAUACAUGCAUACACACAUACAUAGCAACAUACUCUACACCAUAAUAUGCUCGUGUUACGUCCGGUGACUCUUUACGUUCGAGGCGGCCACCAGCUGUGCACAUAGAAUUAAACGGACCGCAAUAAUCCUAAGGAAAUGUCAUAAAACGAGGCUUUUUGAUUUACCGUUAGGUCCGUCAAUUGGCAUAAAACAUCUUCCAGUCAAGAGGUUCCUUAUGGUUAUUGCUCCAUCAGGUAAAAAUAGAAGUUUCCAGGAUACCACCCGCAAGCGACCAGCGGUGGGGCGAUCACCAUCGAACGAGAGUUUUCCUUCGCAACAGCAUCGUCACCGGACUUCACUGGAUCUACGACUACAGAUCAGUCGACAUCUGUUGACUGAUUCACCGAAUUUAGAACAGUCAACAUCUCUUUACCGGGUUUCCACCUGUCAAUCAUUCACCUACUUCUCUCAUGCCUAACGCAACAGCGUUUUUCUUUUUUUUAUUUGGUAGAUUAUUUACAAUCAAUUCUCGUCGAGAAUUUUAAGUAACUUCAUUUGGCGUGGUACAAUAACUUGGUUUAUAAUAAUUUAUAUUAUGUUGAUUCUAGUUGAAUCUAAUGCUUCGAUCUAAAGGGUAUUUUCUUUUGAGUCUGCGGAUCUGGUCCGUCGUGUCAAGUAGUUGGGUGACUAAUGGGUUGUGGUGGUUGUUGACUCUUGUGCUAUAUCUGCUUCUCAACUUGUAUAUUUCUUCUUUGACUGUGGGAUAUCUAACGCAACGGCGCAGCUAUCUUCUCUACAAAGUUCUUGGAAACAUAUAUUAUAAUCUGUUAAUCUCAGCGUUAUACUGAUUCAACCACCUGUAUUAUCCUAACCGAAAUAGACGAUCGAUCUCUGUUCGUGGCGUAGGUUAUUCCAAUCGUAACGGGAAUUUACGACUCCCGUUGACGCGCUUCCUCGCGAUCGCGUCUCUCCGCGACUGGUCGAAUAAACAACUCGUAUGCAUGUCAAGAGAACGAAUAAGGAAGAGAGAAGAAGAAAUUGAGGUGGAGAUAUAGUUGUGGGUGAUAGUGCUAUUGCUGGUGUACAGGCCGAGAUAGGUUCUGCUGUUGGUGUAGAUGUCGUUGCUGAGGUACUGCUGCUUUUCUUCUUAAUUUGAUGCCGUGGAAUGAAAAAUCGGACUACGGUCGUCGGGAUUUGAACCCGGGUUCCGAACGUCCGUAACCUAAGGCGCUAACCACUGCGCUGUUUUUUUUUUUUAUAACGUUUAUUGACCAGUAGAUGAGUAUUACAUUUGAAUGUUGUUCACAAUAAACAAUGAACUUGGGUUGUGGGGUGGUUUAGGCAAACGUACCGAUACGUGACGGUACGACAUAGCCAUACAACGUUUUGUGUGUCGAAAUUACAUUUUUCAGCUUACUAUUUUGAAAUUAGAUUUAUGUCGAUGUAGAGCGGUGCUUAUACAGGGUAGUCUAAAAUAUAGAAUUGUUGAGAAUUGUGGAUCUUUGAAGCCAAAAUAGUGUUAUAGGAACACUAAUUUUAUACUGAGGAUUAAUAUUAAAAUAGUAAUGUAUUUAUUUCAUGGACGAUUUCUUAUAUAUUCAUCGAUACACACUUGCACGCGUCUCGGCACUUUCUUCUAUACCCGACUGUUAACCGACUGACUAGUUUACACACACAUACCUCCACACACUGAUAUUCACAUACAAGUAUCUCUACUACACAGUUAACCCAGUCCAGCACAGAAAAUUAUACAUAUCUCAACAAGAAUAAAAAAUUUUUUUUUAAUUUUUCCAUCGAGACAACGAUCUACAAUGAGAUCUGUUAUAACGUACCGCACGCGUACCGAGCGAAAAUUCAAAGUCGAUUUUCUCGAAAACAAAGCCUCGAACGAAAAAUUGUUAUUCUAUAUUUUCGACUUCUUUUUUCGCGUAGAAUCACCGCCUUUCCGCUUGUACCACCGGUUACCAACCACCCUGUAUACGAUAUUGUUUUUCUCUUCCUAUCGAUGUUCUGAAAACCUUGUCGCAAAAACAGGACAGUUAAACCACUGUGCUGCUGUAACGUCGCCCAGAAGCCAGGAAUCCGCCGACCUCAGGAUAUGCAUAUAACACCUGGUCACGCGAUAGCAGUGAGAAUAGACAGUAGCCGGAUUCCCAUCCGUGAGAUACGUGAAUCAUAGUGAGGAGGUAAAGAUCCCAGUCCUUUAGUCAGUAAGUCAGUCUGUAUUUUGCUAUUGAAGUGUAACUUCGCCUUGUGAAUAAAGUAUACGAACGGGCUAUUGUUCAUUCGCCUUUUUUUUAUGUUAUAUAUAUGUCGGAGAUGAAAGGACACCGGAGCCUUCCCUCUGGAACUUCGGGCAAAUCCGUAAAAUUGUAAUUAAAGUUUACAGUUGUAAUUAAACAAUUUUUAUUCUUUCCAAUUGCACUUGUUUGCGAUUUGUGAUAAUAAACUUGAGCUCAAGGAGACCAUCAGUCGCCGAACGUAGCCUUUCAUCUCCGACAUAUAUAUUACCUCGUCAUUUAUUACGUGACACUGCCGUCGUCCGACAACGAUUGCUGUCGAGUGCCGCGACAAAAUUAUGGAAGAAAGCAUUGAAAGCCAAAUAUGUAUCACGAUGACGCUGUUAUUUGUCACUGAGAAGAGUGGAAACGUGAAAUCGGUUUCGGUUGCGUACAUGACAUGACAGCUGGCAAGUCAGAUCUUGGCGAUUGCCGGUCGUUGCCGGUUCAGGAUCAGAAUUAUACAGACAUGAUUUCGCGACCAAGGGGCUUGUCCGCUAUUAAUUCAAAUGCAGCUCGUGGUUGGCGCGCGAGCGCUUCCGCGACGACAGCCUGCGAUUAUUAUUGUGCAACCGGCGUAAUUUGCAUCUGAAAAAGCGGUACGUGCCUUCGGUUCUCGUUCCUUCUCUUGAAUCUCUCUCUUUCUCUUUCGUUCUAACGUUCCUCUUUGUGCGUGCAUACGCGCGAGUUACGAAUCAGGGAAUGAAAGCAGAGAGAUAAAAGACAAAGGUUUUGUUAUUAGUUACGUUCUCUUUCGUUUCGUUAUUAGUUAUACCGUAUCUGUUUUGGGAAAUUUUCCUUCCAAUUUCCAAGGAGUUUUUUCUUUUUACUGAUAUAUUUUUAUAUUAUAUUUAGUAAUAGUAUUUUUAGUAUUUAGUAGUGAUAAUAAUAAUAAAAUUUUCAUCUACCUAUCGAAUGAUAAAUAAAAAGUCGAAAUAAUAUUUUCUAAUGGGCAACAUUCGAUAGCGUAAUUGUCAAGAGUAUGAUUCUCGGAGAUAGGAAUCUUCAUUUUGAAACAUUCUGGGUAAUUACGACGACGGCUUUUAGUUUGGUUUCCCAUUAAUUAUGCGUUUUCGAUUUAUAUCGUGACUCGUUUGUUCGAUGCGAAUGCGAUUAACUGUUAGAGAGUAAUUAAUCCGUUUGAACGCGCUCCGUUUGUUCAAACAAAACUGUAGUUAGCGGGACUAAGUAAAUUUCUGGCCACUGAAUUCACUUUUCCUAACGUGAAUUACUAUUACACGAAGGCGAAAUCGUAAGUAGUACAAACCUAAGUAUCUGUCGAACGGCAGGUUAAAAAGAAAAAAGAAAAAAGAAACGGGAUUUUUAGAAUAAAUUACAGACGUUGUUAAAUAAAAUAACGCGAGCAAUUGAAUCAGUGAUCGGAGUAAAACAGUACGUGGAUGUGAUUUUACAUUGGAAAGUGAAAGAAAGUUGUGUGCGCGAAAACGCAUUAAUUUUCUAAAUUAUCGUUUAGAGUGGAGCCUCGUUAUCUGAACAAGAUAUCUUUCAAUAACAAAUGCCUUGUUUCGCCGGAAUUUAACGAAGAUAGCAAAAAUACUGCGGAUGACUGUGGACGUUGGAAAAUCCACAGACGUUAAAACACAAAAGCGCGAUAUUGAAAAUUAUCCGAAGCGUGUAAAUGUCUCGGAUACUGGCAACAGUGACGAGAAGCUGAAAUAGUCUGAUUGUAACGAGACGGUUUCGUCGUGAUAAAAGCGAUAAUUACGACGAUUUUCUACAAAUGGAAACAGAAAACGAAAGUGGUAAAGGAGAGGCGGUGGCUUCUCAUUUCGAAUUAUUCGCGGCGUUCGAAAAAAAAAAAAAAAAAAAAAAAAAAGGAUGGUUGCAAGUAGAAAAAGGAAUGUAACUGUGUUGUAACAGUCAGCUGUGUUUCAAAAAUUACGCGACUUAGCAAGCAGAAAGAUAUGAGGUCCGUAAGUAUUUCGAGAAUCUGUCAAUUAAUCUCAGCAUACGUAAAUGAAAUUUCACACGAGAAAAGCGAUCCUUCUAUUAUCAGAAAAUUCCAUUAUCCGAACAGUUUUGUCUGACUAUUGGUUCGGACAAGCUACGUACUUCGAUUUCAUACCACCAUCUUCGUCGAUUCAAUGGACGAUGAGACGAGACUCUUAAUUUUCAUUCCUUCAUUUCUUAACAUUCACAGGUUCCAGGCUUCGCAUCGCUUCAUUUUCUUCCCUUUUUUUCUAUUAAAUAAUAUCGAUUCAAUUCUUGCGUGUAUUUUUAGCUUUUAUAGGUAAUCACAGUUGCCUGGAUGUUUUCAGAUAAGAUUCUGAGGAACAGGAAGAGGAAUGUUCGAGGUGCCAUUUAUUCCACAUCUACGUGGCUUGGCAAAUAUUGAAUCUGUGAGACAGCACGGCAGAAACACCAGGUUAGCUUCCUAUCGAGAGUUUCGUGAGUUUCUCCUGAGCGACACCGGGUAUCCAUGAACUUGGGAAUUUCGUAUAAACCUUGCUGCCUUUGAUACAUCUUCUUCUCCAUUUUCAAUUAACUGAUUAAUUUCCAAUUCCAUCGACGAUUCCAUUCCUUUUUACCAAUCUCCUUUGAUCGAACCGUUUUUUCUCUACUUCCACUUUAUUUUAUCGUAUAUUUAAAAUAUCACGUAUUGCGUUCAAAUACUACAUUUUCUUCUACAGGAUGUACAAAAUGGUCCGAGCAAGACUUGUAUCUAUCAACGAGAUCAAGCAGAUAAGAACAGUUCGUACAAAUGUUUUAUCGAAGAGUUACGAGUGUUCAAAGAUUAUUAUUAAUUAAUUCAUUGUUUCAGUUAUAAUAAACUUAAAUAAAAUUAAAAGGGAAUUUCUUCCCUCUGCAAGAAUGCAGACUUCCCAUUCGUCGAACUCUAUCGAAUAUUCCUGCCGUUGUUACAUUCGUUUCGAAUAUAUUCGCAAAGCCGAGUGGAUUCUUCCGUUUCUAUCGUAUUUUCAUAAACCAAGAACAACUUCCAGGGAAAUCUUCGAACGCUUAUACCUGCUCAAUAAAACAUUUCCAAACAUAAGUUUAUGGGAACUUUUUUACCUGCUUAACGUCAUUAACACGUGGUACAAGUUUCGUUCCGAGCUUCUCGGACACCUGCUAUACUAUUGCGCUUGUCAUAUAUUCGUACGAUUAUAUUAAAAUAUAUUUUAUUACAUAUUAGAAAUUUGUAUUUUUCUAAACAGUAUAAUAAAAUAAUUUAAAAGAUAGUAACGUUUAGGCAGAGAAAUGUAUGUACUGUGCAAAGAACUGUAUGUACUUUGAAUAAUUUUUACAUUACAACAUUACGUACAUUAUGAAUUUUUGUAUUUCCAAAUUUCUCGUUUAUACGCGUAGAAAUCUGUCUGUAGCGUACGUGUUACACGGUAAUAUUUCAUUUCUAAUUUAAUUUAUCCCUUAUCGAUAUUAUUUCGAUUGUAAAUUGUCUGAUCGACGUUUAUAUCUGCAUCUUACACGAGCAAAUUUAACUUUAUAUCAGUCCGAUAAUAUUUUAAUCUUCGAUAGCUCGAGUAUUCCGUGAGAAUUUUAAUUUUGCAAAAUUGAAAAGUACGACUUUAGCGUUUGGCUCGGUGUUCUUUUUGUUUAGAAAUCGUUUCGUAGAACGUUGGCGAGUAUCGUGGUACUUGCGCGUGUUUAAUGGCUGGCUCGAUUCACAUAACUUUGUUUCUAACAAUUUUAGUACCUCUAUUGACUCGUGUGUGCGCGUAGUAUGUUACUUUUAUUGAGUAAUUAAAAGCUGUAUAUUUAACAUGGUAAACUUAGCAAUUUAUCUUCUACGGUAUAUGAUACGAAUAGAAGGGAAGAAAAUAUGAUCCGAGCAAGCACGUCGUCUCCUUUCUAUAAAUUAUGUCAAAUGAAAUAAAUAGGUGGCAAUUAAGUUGUAAAAAAUGCCGAUGGGAAAAGGAAUUAUUGGAAUAUCUUCUAAAUACGCUGUAAAAUAAAUUAUUCUACUUGCAAUACCGACCAUCUAUUCGUGUAAUCGAGUGGCAAAUUUAAAAGAGUUAAGAGGUUCCAACAAAAAUUGUUUAUUCGUUCCGUGACCAUAAUUUCUUAUAGAAAGCACUUGCAGAAAACUAACCCGAAGACGAUCUAUAUGAAGAGUACCACGAAUUAAUUUUCCAGUUAGCAUCAUCGUCGUUCUUGCUGAAUCACAGUGUGAAGAUCAAAAAUGUUCUAAUAAUUCCUACACUACUUUCAAUCUCUUUUUCGUUUACCUUUCUUCUUUUUGCUCUUUUUAUUUCAUUCAUAUUUUUAAAAAAGUCACGCAGCAAUUCCCAACUAUUCGAUUUUCUCUCUAAUAUUCGUUAAUCUUCUAUUUACUUUUUCCAACCUAGCACACAUCUUUCUAAUUCCUACACUAUUUUUCAUUUAACCGGUUUCUUCUUUCCCCGAUCGUAUCUUCGAAAUGAUCUCAAUAAUUCCUACGCUAUUCUUCAUUUUAUUACGAAUUUAAUCCGUCUUUGUCUCGCCUAGUUCAUAUUUUCAAAACGAUCACAGCGAUUCCUAACUAUCUAACCGCCUUUGCUGUCACUUUAUCAACCAUUAAUCUCCAUUUUCCCUGCCUAACUUCGUUCGCUUCUUCAAAAAGCUCUUAAUAAUUCGCACAAUUACGACUUCUUCUUUCUAUCUGUUUCUUCUUCUUUUUAGCUCGUUUCUAUCUUCAAGGAAACAUCGUGCAACACUACCUACACCUAUUACUACUACUACCAUUGCUUGCUUUCUAUUGCGUCUGCAAAAAGAUCUCGUGAUAAUUCCCAUUCUAUCUUUCGGCCUAUUUCUUCCUUCUUCUUACUUCGCUCGCAUCUUCCAAAAUAUCAUCCGACUUGCUACGCUGUUUUCCACUCUAUUAUCCAAUCUGCCUUUCCCUCUAUCUCGCUUCGCAUCUUCUAGCCCAAACCAAGAUCGAAUCCUCUGCCACGUCCGACAGAUCUAAUUAUCCAAUUAUGGAAGAAGCGCGACAGUGGUACACGUUGUCACGGCGAUUUAGAACACAUUAGACACGAUGAUAGCCGGUACGGUUUUCCGUCGUUUCGUCGGGACGAAAGGCCGCGGACACGAAAGUGACCUUCGCUCGAGCCGCCUCUAAGUGUCCAAUCACGGUAAUACUGUCCGGUCGGUUGACGUCACGGCCUCUAAUUCCAGCAAUUUCCCAAUUGCCGAUCAAAGUCGCCGGAAUCGCAGAUUGCAUCUGCUCGGUGAGCACACGCCGUUACGAGCAAGAACCAGCAACUCGUGCGCAACAGGGAGGGAAAACGCUCUCGAUGACCGGCAUCGGGGACAACUUCCGUCACGGAUCGACUUCCGCCACGGAUCGACUUCCGCGAAAACAGAGACAUCGACUAUUCCGCGAAUGGGUUUGGCGUGCCGCGUACAUACGUACUCUGCCAAGGAAUUCGUUACCGGGAUUUUCGUCGACGUGUCUUCUAUGAAUUGUCUUCUUUGAAAUGCAAAAGUCCAAGGAAUCUUUUUUCUAUCGAGGAGAAAUUAGUAGAUUUGUAGGUUAUAUUCUUUUCUUCUUUUCUUUUUUACUUGGUACGUUACGUUAGGUAUUUUUUCUUCACUUUUUUUUUAUCGAAGUGGAUUAAAGAAGUGGGAUUGGUCAGCAUGAUUUUUAAGUUACAAAUUGUUUCUUUUUUUAUUUAUUGCGAAGGUUUGAAGAGUUUCUUCUGCAUGGAGGAUCGAGGAAUUUCUUCUUUAUGGAGGAUUGAAGAAUUUCUUCUUUAUGGAGGUUUGAAGAGUUUCUUCUGUAUGGAGGAUUGAAGAAUUGGGAUUGAUGAGGAUGAUUUUUAAGUUACGAAUGGUUUUUUCUUCUUUUUUCAUUUAUUGGGAAGGUUCGAAGAAUUUCUUCUUAUCAAGGAUUGAAGAAUUGGGAUUGGUCAACAUGAUUUUUAAGUUACGAAUUGUUUUUUUCUAAAUUUUUAUUUAUUGGGAAGAUCUAAAGAGUUUCUUCUUCAUGGAGGAUUGAAGAAUUUCUUCUUUAUGGAGAAUUAAAGAAUUGGGAUUGAUCAGGAUGAUUCUUAAGUUACGAAUCGUUUUCCCUUUUUUUUUUUUGUUUAUUCGGAAGGUUUGAAGAAUUUCUUCUUUAUCGAAGAUUGAAGAAUUGAGAUUGAUCAGGAUGAUUUUUAAGUUACGAAUUGUCUUCUUUUUAUUUAUUGGGAAAGUUUGAAGAAUUUCUUCUUUAUGGAGGAUUGAAGAGUUGGGAUUGGUCAGAACGAUCUGUAAUAUAGUUUUUUAGCGUAAGGAAGUUAAAGAAGAUCGAGGAAUCGCCAUUUGCUCGUGUUUUUUUCUGAUAAUGAACAAGUUUCGUCUGAAUCCUUUCUCACAUUCUCUCCAAAAUUUCUACUCUAAUUACAGCAUACGAUGAAUUGUUCAUAUCGCGGUAAGAAUGAUAACAAAAUAAUAAUGACAACAACAACAACAAACACAGGUAUAAGAAAGAAAAAAAAACAAGUAUACUGGAAGAAGAAGAACAACACAACGAACAAGAAGAUGAACCAAAAAUAAAA